This 251-nucleotide ribosomal RNA is filed under the name uncultured bacterium. Its description in RNAcentral is "partial 16S ribosomal RNA". It matches the Rfam family "Bacterial small subunit ribosomal RNA", at positions 57 to 305 of the family's 1533-position model. The record is from RNAcentral.
GCAAGUCGAGCGGUAACAGAUCUAGCUUGCUAAUUCGCUGACGAGCGGCGGACGGGUGAGUAAUGCCUGGGAAUAUGCCUUAGUGUGGGGGAUAACUAUUGGAAACGAUAGCUAAUACCGCAUAAUGUCUUCGGACCAAAGAGGGGGAUCUUCGGACCUCUCGCGCUAAGAUUAGCCCAGGUGAGAUUAGCUUGUUGGUGAGGUAAGAGCUCACCAAGGCGACGAUCUCUAGCUGGUCUGAGAGGAUGAUC